RNAcentral lists this ribosomal RNA (419 nucleotides) under uncultured archaeon. RNAcentral's name for it is "partial 16S ribosomal RNA". It matches the Rfam family "Archaeal small subunit ribosomal RNA", at positions 323 to 746 of the family's 1478-position model. The record is from RNAcentral.
CUACGGGGGCACCAGUCGAGGAACUUUUACAAUGCUCGAAAGAGUGAUAAAAUAAACCAGAGUGUUUCUCCUAGAGAAACUUUUGUCUGCUGUAAAAAAGCAGAUGAAUAAGGACUGGGCAAGACCGGUGCCAGCCGCCGCGGUAAUACCGGCGGUCCAAGUCGCAUCCACAUUUAUUGGGUCUAAAACAUUCGUAGCUUGUUUUGUAAGUCCCUUGUGAAAUCUGACAUCUCAAGUGUCAGGCGUGCAAGAGAUACUGCAUUGCUAGAGACCGGAAGAUGCAAAGAGUAUGAUUGAGGUAGCGGUAAAAUGUGUUAAUCUUAAUUAGACUAACAAUGGCGAAGGCACUUUGCAAGUACGGAUCUGACAGUGAGGAAUGAAGGCUAGGGGCGCAAAAGGGAUUAGAUACCCCAGUAGUC